RNAcentral lists this ribosomal RNA (253 nucleotides) under uncultured bacterium. Its description in RNAcentral is "partial 16S ribosomal RNA". It matches the Rfam family "Bacterial small subunit ribosomal RNA", at positions 524 to 776 of the family's 1533-position model. The record is from RNAcentral.
UACGUAGGGGGCAAGCGUUGUCCGGAUUUAUUGGGCGUAAAGCGCGCGCAGGCGGUCUGCCAAGUUCGGAGUGACAGUUUCCGGCUUAACCGGAAAAGGUCUUCGAAAACUGGUGGACUUGAGGACUUGAGGGGGAGACGGAAUUCCGGGUGUAGCGGUGAAAUGCGUAGAUAUCCGGAGGAACACCGGUGGCGAAGGCGGCUUCCUGGACCGACACUGACGCUGAGGCGCGAAAGCUAGGGGAGCAAACGGG